UGUUGCACGGAGCUCCCACUCAGUGGGAACGGAAAAAGAGAGCUGUGUGAGGCCCUGUUCUCGGCAUAUCGGAGCUUUUGCCCCAGCAACUCGUCAGACAGCUGCUCAGUGGGAGAACAAAGCGGUGUGUGUGUGGCCCACAGCAGCAGAGGACAAGUCUUAUGAGGACACACAGCAAAUUAACAAAACGAUGUGGUUCAGUCUCUGAAAGCAACAUAACUCAUGCCCGUCUUUGUUUAUCUUAUUACGGACACUGCAGACUUUCCCACGCGUAUUAAACGCCACCCACAAGAUCGGGAAUUUCCAAAUUCCUGAGAAGUCCUUCAGAUUUAUGUGACUACACGGCCCAUUCCAAGACCAUGCCAAAGCAAAUGUGUGACAUCAGGUGAGCAAGGUCAAUGUACCUAGAUUCGGGAGGUCCGAUGUCUGACAGAUGACCUUCUCCAGAGAAGACUGGUCUACAUCCAGCUGAGGUAUCGACAUCUGAACACACAGGAAGUCAUCCACCUGCAUCACAUACCAGCAGGGGCAUAACUGAGGCCGUCCAGGUGUGACUCACCUGCAUCCUGCAAUCACAGUGCCAGGGGUUCUGGGUGAGGUUGGCUAGGACCUGAAGCCCACUGAGCACAGCUGGGUCCAACGUGGUGAGACGGUUGAAUGAAAGGUCCAGGUACCGAAGAGAAGACGCCAAUCCAAAGAAACAACCGGCUUCAAGAGACGAGAGCUGCCACAGGAAACAGGAAAACCAAGCCUUAUAGAAACUGUGACCAGAUGUGCAGACCUGAGUCAGUCUGAGUCCACUGCAGCGGAUCGUCAGGCCUCCGCCCACCGCCUCCAUCUGCUGGCAGGCAUUGAUGGACGAUACUCUGUUGCGCCACAGUGCUGCAGCACGAGGUGAUGAUGUCAUGACCAGGCUGGGUGAUGGAAGGAC
Nothobranchius furzeri (turquoise killifish) is the source of this 931-nucleotide non-coding RNA. NCBI's taxonomy places the organism in Eukaryota, Metazoa, Chordata, Actinopteri, Cyprinodontiformes, Nothobranchiidae. The record is from RefSeq and is a predicted model, not a curated record.